GCAGAGUAAGCCGUUGUGAGUUAUGUGCCGGUGAGACGGGGAGUUGUUCACCGGACGUAGUGUGGUCCGCCAUAGGAGGAUCAUGCGCUGUGCAGCGGCUGCAUCCCGCUGC
RNAcentral lists this non-coding RNA (112 nucleotides) under uncultured Lachnoclostridium sp. Its description in RNAcentral is "THF riboswitch". It matches the Rfam family "THF (Tetrahydrofolate) riboswitch aptamer". From Rfam's summary of the family: THF riboswitch presents a pseudoknot that joins P1-P2 and the loop of P3 and two THF binding. The record is from RNAcentral. Lineage: Bacteria; Bacillati; Bacillota; Clostridia; Lachnospirales; Lachnospiraceae.